UACGUAGGGUGCGAGCGUUAAUCGGAAUUACUGGGCGUAAAGCGUGCGUAGGGGGUUCGUUGUGUCUGUGGUGAAAGCCCCGGGCUUAACCUGGGAAUGGCCAUGGAAACUGGCGAGCUGGAGUCUGGCAGAGGGGGGUGGAAUUCCGCGUGUAGCAGUGAAAUGCGUAGAGAUGCGGAGGAACACCGAUGGCGAAGGCAGCCCCCUGGGCUAAGACUGACGCUGAGGCACGAAAGCGUGGGGAGCAAACAGG
Molecule: ribosomal RNA, 253 nt
Filed under: uncultured bacterium
Lineage: Bacteria
Description: partial 16S ribosomal RNA
Rfam family: Bacterial small subunit ribosomal RNA
Source: RNAcentral